Long non-coding RNA from Drosophila simulans, 462 nucleotides. RefSeq lists it as uncharacterized. The transcript has 2 exons. The record is from RefSeq and is a predicted model, not a curated record. NCBI's taxonomy places the organism in Eukaryota, Metazoa, Arthropoda, Insecta, Diptera, Drosophilidae.
UCCAACUGCAAAAAGGAGAGGGAUUUUACUUACUAUUGGUUCAAAACAAUUGUGCAAAAACUAUUAGAUCUAGACAGUUUUCAUUAACAUUGGCAUAAACAUUAUUGACCUUUCUCAGGCAUAAACCCAAUUUCUGGCCUUCUCGGAACUCAAAAUGAAUAAGGGGCACACCAAUACAAAUUGAGUAGAGGAAAUAUCCAUGAGUAAUCCCCGGUCAUGAGUAAGUUGUCCGCCGCCUAUUGCCACGAUCGAUCUGUGAGUCAUCAAUCAAAUCCGAAAGCCAAACACACAGCCGCAUUCCAGUGCCUCCACCUGUUUUAUCUGCGGAAUUCGUUUCCAGUUCGAGGGGUCCUAUCUUCCACCUGACUGACAUAUUCGCUGAUUAUCGAAAAAUUGUUCGCUUCAAUUUAUGCAGUUCAAAAGCGUGAGUGGGCGCCACAGAAAAUAAGAGAAAAUAUACAA